AAGCAGGAUAGGAACCUGGAGGCAGA
Molecule: non-coding RNA, 26 nt
Filed under: Cricetulus griseus (Chinese hamster)
Lineage: Eukaryota; Metazoa; Chordata; Mammalia; Rodentia; Cricetidae
Source: RNAcentral